GUAGGUGGCAAGCGUUAUCCGGAAUUAUUGGGGCGUAAAGCGCGCGUAGGCGGUUUUUUAAGUCUGAUGUGAAAGCCCACGGGCUCAACCGUGGGAGGGUCAUUGGAAACUGGAAAACUUGAGUGCAGAAGAGGAAAGUGGAAUUCCAUGUGUAGCGGUGAAAUGCGCAGAGAUAUGGAGGAACACCAGUGGCGAAGGCGACUUUCUGGUCUGUAACUGACGCUGAUGUGCGAAAGCGUGGGGAUCAAACAGGAUUAGAUACCCUGGUAGUCCACGCCGUAAACGAUGAGUGCUAAGUGUUAGGGGGUUUCCGCCCCUUAGUGCUGCAGCUAACGCAUUAAGCACUCCGCCUGGGGAGUACGACCGCAAAGGUUG
This 375-nucleotide ribosomal RNA is filed under the name uncultured organism. Its description in RNAcentral is "partial 16S ribosomal RNA". It matches the Rfam family "Bacterial small subunit ribosomal RNA", at positions 527 to 896 of the family's 1533-position model. The record is from RNAcentral.